UACAGAGGGUGCGAGCGUUGUCCGGAAUCACUGGGCGUAAAGGGCGCGUAGGCGGUCUGGUAAGCGUGUGGUGAAAGCCCGGGGCUCAACCCCGGGUCGGCCGUGCGAACUGCUGGACUGGAGCAUGUCAGAGGCAGGCGGAAUUCCGGGUGUAGCGGUGGAAUGCGUAGAGAUCCGGAAGAACACCGGUGGCGAAGGCGGCCUGCUGGGACAUGGCUGACGCUGAGGCGCGACAGCGUGGGGAGCAAACAGG
RNAcentral lists this ribosomal RNA (253 nucleotides) under uncultured bacterium. RNAcentral's name for it is "partial 16S ribosomal RNA". It matches the Rfam family "Bacterial small subunit ribosomal RNA", at positions 524 to 776 of the family's 1533-position model. The record is from RNAcentral.